UGGGCAGUAGCUCGGCGAAAAGAGCGUUCGCCUGGUAUGCGAAAAGACCCGGCUUCGACUCCCGGCUGCCCCG
This is a transfer RNA of Toxocara canis (dog roundworm), 73 nucleotides long. It matches the Rfam family "tRNA". From Rfam's summary of the family: Transfer RNA (tRNA) molecules are approximately 80 nucleotides in length. Their secondary structure includes four short double-helical elements and three loops (D, anti-codon, and T loops). NCBI's taxonomy places the organism in Eukaryota, Metazoa, Nematoda, Chromadorea, Rhabditida, Toxocaridae. The record is from Rfam.